Molecule: ribosomal RNA, 253 nt
Filed under: uncultured bacterium
Lineage: Bacteria
Description: partial 16S ribosomal RNA
Rfam family: Bacterial small subunit ribosomal RNA
Source: RNAcentral
UACGGAGGGGGCUAGCGUUGUUCGGAAUUACUGGGCGUAAAGCGCACGUAGGCGGAUUGUUAAGGCGGGGGUGAAAUCCCGGGGCUCAACCCCGGAAUGGCCUCCUAUACUGGCAAUCUUGAGGUCGGGAGAGGUGAGUGGAAUAGCGAGUGUAGAGGUGAAAUUCGUAGAUAUUCGCCGGAACACCAGUGGCGAAGGCGGCUCACUGGCCCGAUACUGACGCUGAGGUGCGACAGCGUGGGGAGCAAACAGG